RNAcentral lists this ribosomal RNA (497 nucleotides) under uncultured bacterium. RNAcentral's name for it is "partial 16S ribosomal RNA". It matches the Rfam family "Bacterial small subunit ribosomal RNA", at positions 28 to 507 of the family's 1533-position model. The record is from RNAcentral.
GAUGAACGCUGGCGGCGUGCCUAAUACAUGCAAGUCGAGCGAACGGACGAGAAGCUUGCUUCUCUGAUGUUAUCGGCGGACGGGUGAGUAACACGUGGAUAACCUACCUAUAAGACUGGGAUAACUUCGGGAAACCGUAGCUAAUACCGGAUAAUAUUUUGAACCGCAUGGUUCAAAAGUGAAAGACGGUCUUGCUGUCACUUAUAGAUGGAUCCGCGCUGCAUUAGCUAGUUGGUAAGGUAACGGCUUACCAAGGCAACGAUGCAUAGCCGACCUGAGAGGGUGAUCGGCCACCCUGGAACUGAGACACGGUCCAGACUCCUACGGGAGGAAGCAGCAGGGAAUCUUACGCAAUGGGCGAGAGCCUGACGGAGCAAAGCCGCGUGAGUGAUGAAGGUCUUAGGAUCGUAAAGCUAUGUUAUUAGGAAAGAACAAAUGUGUAAGUAACUGUGAACAUCUUGACGGUACCUAAUCAGAAAGCCACGGCUAACUACGUG